CAGGAGUCUGAGUUGCUUCUCGUGGGUGUGGAGGUAGCGGCUGAACUCCUCAAAGUCCAGCUCGCCGUCCUGGUUGGUGUCCCCGGCGAGGACGACCUGGAGCGGGGAGUCAGAGCACAGUGGAGUGGAGGAGAUUAGUUCUUGUUCCGACCCUCUAGUCUGGAUAGAGGGGUCACAUGAGGCUCAAACAGUAAAGAGAGGUUCUGUUGACUUGGGGAGCUUGAACCACAGUACACUCUCUCCUCCGGCGGCUCACCUUAUCCACGGAGCUCCGGGACACCCCUCGCUUUGCCAGGCCAACCCGCAGCUCACGUAGAUCGAUCCGUCCAUCCUUAUUGAGGUCCAGCUGAUCGAACAGUCUGGCCCAGCGCCUCCUCCUCCUCAGCUCCGGGCUCUCCUGGUUCUCCUGGCAGCUGGCCACCAGGAGGACCCCGAGUCGCUCCAUGCGACCUUAUAGCGGGUGCUCAACGCUAGGACGAGGUGACGCCUGGAGGAUCAGCAUUACGAGGGAUUGGAACAUGAGCUCAUAAGCGGACGUUACCUCCGUCGAUCAUAUCAUGGUUAUUAGACCUCCACCGCCUUCUUCUGAGCAGACCUUCUGACUUCUUUCACCGAACAACAUGGACGCGCA
Gadus macrocephalus (Pacific cod) is the source of this 631-nucleotide long non-coding RNA. RefSeq lists it as uncharacterized. The transcript has 2 exons. The record is from RefSeq and is a predicted model, not a curated record. NCBI's taxonomy places the organism in Eukaryota, Metazoa, Chordata, Actinopteri, Gadiformes, Gadidae.